GCUUCAAAUUUUCUACAAUAUAUAAAAAUCUUACCGGUGAAUAAAAAGAUUCUUCUUGUACAUCUACGAGCGGCGCAAAAAGGCAGGAUCCUCGACAUUGUAAAUCAACCAAGUUAUAGGAGAAAAAUAUCAAGAUUUUCAGUGCGAUUUUUACCUCAAAAACAAGCGAAAUCAUAAAAUAUCUGUGCUGAAACCAGGGGCACAGAAUAGGAAGUUAUACCAGAAGCGUAACUCGAGCAAAUAUUUGUUCGCAUUUUUACAAGCGAUUCGUCAUCAAUCACGCCAUCUGGCUAGUACAACCGGCACUUUGUACGAAUUGUACCUACCAAAUCCUGAUAAAAACUUCCGGCUGUACUAGCCAGGAUGGCG
This is a non-coding RNA of Paramuricea clavata, 369 nucleotides long. NCBI's taxonomy places the organism in Eukaryota, Metazoa, Cnidaria, Anthozoa, Malacalcyonacea, Plexauridae. The record is from the annotation of a GenBank genome assembly.